UGUAACGGAAAGUAAAUUCGACGUAGUUUAACAUACUCACUUUUCGACCGAUUUCUUCGCGCUGGAGCUGACCGUGUAAACGUCUAAUGUAACGGUAAUUUAAAUUCGACGUAGUUUAAAAUACUCCCUUUUCGAAGGAUGUGCUUCUAUGUUAUUUUUUCCCCAUUUCGGAACAGGAUUACGUUGGUUAACCGUGAAGCUCUUGAGUCUGACGUGGUGAAAAAAGUUGGUGGGCAGUCGCCAAAAAGACAGACUCUAAGCAACCAGAAGUGGACGCUAAGCAUUGAAUGUCAGAUUGUCUGUGAGGGAGUACAAGUCAGCUUUACAUCUGGACUCUCAGCUCUAUUUACAUCAUAUCACAACUUUAACCUCCGAUAUCAAGAAGCCGCCGCAUGCACCCUUGAGUUUGUGCAAAGGCGCUUCAUCGACAUCAACCCAGAACGGGGAUCCUAAGCCAAGCAGGGAAAAGUGGUAUCCAGAAAGACUGGCAAAGUAGUCCAGAAAAGAACAGUUCUGUGAAUCCUCAUGUUUCCUCACUGCUUCGAAAGUUGAUGGACUUUGAAUGGGAUUUUGUGUGAGGCAAUCCGUUUGAGAGGGCACAGCUCACACCCUGCCCACCGAAAGCCACGCCCCUUACCCACCGAAAGCCACGCCCCUGCUCAGAGGGCUGGGCAGGGAACUCUAAGACUGCUUUAUUACUAUAACUCUGAGUAAUG
Molecule: long non-coding RNA, 716 nt
Organism: Brienomyrus brachyistius
Lineage: Eukaryota; Metazoa; Chordata; Actinopteri; Osteoglossiformes; Mormyridae
Exons: 4
Source: RefSeq, a predicted model, not a curated record